AUGGGCCGGCCUAGCCGCAGCGCGCAACAGGAGCUCCUAUGGGCUUUGCCGUUCCCGUGCUCGUCCUCACCUCCGCCACCCUCGACUCCGGCGGCCGCCGCUCCGGCACCCUCGCGUGGACGCUUCGCCUCCGCCCGGUGCUCUACAUGGCGCGGGCCGCCGCGUAGGGUGUGCUGCCUCCGUCGUCUUCUCCGCACAGCACAGCCUACGUACUCCACAGCAGCUCUGUCCCGAGUGCGCGCGCCCUUAUCCCCGACGCCGCCUGAAUUCCUCCCUAGGUCGCCCUCGGCUGCUCCUGCCAUCCUCCCUGAGCUGCGGCACGCGUCCACCUCUCCCCAAGCUUUGCAGUCUGGAGUGCCCUUGGAUCUGGAUCAACCUCCUGCAAUGGCUUCCUGUCCGAGCUCCCUCCUCUUGUCCUGA
RNAcentral lists this ribosomal RNA (420 nucleotides) under Triticum aestivum (bread wheat). Its description in RNAcentral is "partial small subunit ribosomal RNA". Lineage: Eukaryota; Viridiplantae; Streptophyta; Magnoliopsida; Poales; Poaceae. The record is from RNAcentral.